Molecule: long non-coding RNA, 4382 nt
Organism: Balaenoptera acutorostrata (minke whale)
Lineage: Eukaryota; Metazoa; Chordata; Mammalia; Artiodactyla; Balaenopteridae
Exons: 3
Source: RefSeq, a predicted model, not a curated record
CGUGCGCCCUGAGCCCGCCUCGCAGGUUACCUGGGCCUGACACGUGACCGCGACGCCACGUGACUCGGGUCUCGCCUCCGACCCCCGCCCGGUCUCCAGCCGGCGGAAGCGGAAGGCGGGCGGUGGGCGCGGCUGGUCACCUCCUUGCGGGGCCUCUGGGUCCGUCCUGGAGCUGCUAGAUGAAAAGAGGGGUUUGGAGCGGACGUGCGGCUCUCCGUCGCGGGCCGAGGGUGGGAGUCCCACGGCGGCCGCCCCACGGGAGACGAGAGGGCGUUUCCGCAGGGACGCCGAUGCUAACGCGUCUCUCGGCCUCGGGGCCAGUGGAGAGUCUGGGCUGGGGGGCAGGAAGGAGGGGGAUGUGAACACGCGUACUGAGUGUUACCCCUCGUGCUGGAAAAACACACAAGGCACAGGGUGUAAAGCUAGACACAAUCUUGAAGGGGCUUCAGAGGGUUCGGUGGCUUCCGGCUGUCACCCCGUCCUAGAGGCCGUGGGGGACUGGGCGGCCUCAGCCUGGAAGGUUCAGAAAGGCCCCAAGCUGCCCAGGGAAGGAAAUCGCAGCCUCGCUGCUGCCAGAACCUUCCUGAAGUGCCUCUCACUCACUCCCCAGUUCCUGAUUUGCUUCUAGGCUCUGCCCGGUUCUUCUCUUUUCUCGACUGCUGCCCGCGCUCUGGCCACACCGGCCCUUUGCAGAGAGAGGUGACGCCCGCCUGCCCUGCUGCUUCGUUGAGCACUUGCAACCCCACCUCCUGGGGAAACGUGCCUCCAGUGCACCUUCGGUGCAGCCUUGGAAGCCCCUUCCUGUGUUGAGAGAACGCCUUACCCUCUGAAUAUGGAUGGCAGACAGAGCACCUAGCAGAAGCUGAAAAAACCAGAUGGUCACUUUCCCAGCCUUCCUAGCGGCUAAGCUGGAGCAGGCCUGUACGGAAGAAUUUUCCAUCGUGGACCAGUUGGUUACUCCAAAAUACCGUCCCUACAGGAAAGGUGGGAUCUGUACCUGAUUCGUGAUUCUUUUGUCUGGCUUCAGAGUAAGAACUCAGUGCUGAAGCAGCUUCCAAAAGUGAACUGCCGCGCCCGGCGUGAACCGUGCGCUCUGGGGGGUGAUGACCUGUCUUUGCGGGUUCCUCAGUGGGGACCGAUGCCCCACCUGGUGUGGACACUGAUGGUGGGGGAGGCCGUGCGUGGCGGGAAGGUGGCAGAGGGGGUAUGGGAACUCUGUACUUUCAGUUUUGCUAUGAACCUGAAACUGCUCUAAAAAAUACAGUUUAUUAAUUAAAAAACAAAGUGAACCAUCACAUUUUAAAAAAUGUGAUGUUAAAGCGCUAUGUUACCGUGGAUUUCUGUAUAGUUGAUAUGUCUUCAGUCUUUUGUAGUUAUUAUCAUUUUCAGGUUAAAAUCGUGUGGUCUUGGUAGUGCAGCCUUCUAGAUUUGAGUGACUGUGACAUUUCUCUCCACGUGGGCUGCCGCUGUUGCUGUCCCACCAGCGAUGCAUCAGCAGAGAGCCCGUGUGCCCACAGCCUGACCCUGACCUGUGAGAAAUUCGGUCCCUGUAGUUUUCAUUUGCAUUUUCCUUAUGAGUGGGGCACCUGCCUUUUUUUGCCCAUCUUUCUGUCAGAUUAUAGAGAUAUUUGCAAUACAAGUCACACUUUUAAAGUCAGUGUAUCACUUUUAGAAUCAUUUUGGUAUUUUAGUUUGCUUAUGGCAUGUUUUUGUUUGCAGAAGUUCUUUUGUUUAAACGUGGGUGAAUUGAUCACUCUUCCACAGCAUUUGGGUUUUAAGUCCUUCCUAGUCCUAGGUUAGAAGACUCCGUCUGUGUUCUGCCAGUGCGUGUGUAGUUUCAUUUCUGCAUUUGUAUCUCUGAUGCAGGGUGCCGACGGGCAGGGCAGAGAAGGGGUCCGUGUCACCCUUCCCACGCAGGUCUCUAGGUGUCCUCCUUCCACUUACCAAAAGCUCACCUUUUGCCCACUGAUUGGAGAUUCCACCCUCAUCCUGUGCUGACGUGAGAACGUACUUGACUUGAUGAUUUUUGGAGCUGCCCCAGCACCACUGUUUUGAAGUUAUAGAUGCUGUAUCUGCAGGGCCAGCUCCCUCACUUUUCUCCUUCAGGGUUUUUCUAACUAUUGUUGUCUAUUUUGCCAUAUGAUCUUUUGCAAGCAAGUUGUCUUUAAAAAUAAAAUUAACGUUCACCCAAGAGAAAUUCUGACUUAGGUUGGCAGUGUUUACGGCAGCCCUAGCCAUCAUUGCCCCAGGCUGCACGCAGGCGGUGGCGGGGGAUCCUCCGGGCACUUGGGAAGUGCAGGACAUUCUGGAAAGGGCAAAACUGUCGGGAUUGGCGGGGCUGGGGCAGCCUGAGGGGGUCUGGGCUGACGGGGCUGUUCCGUCUAGUAACGAGGGGGUGGGGAUGGGACUUUGAAGGUUUGCCAAACCCAUAGAAACGUGCGCCCCAAAGACUGAACUUUAUGUUAAUUUUAAAACUAUCAAGCAGGAUGUAGGGGGUGCAGUCCGUGACAAAGGUGACUGUCCUGGUGGUCCCGUGGCCACACCGCCGACCCCAGGAACCCCGCGUGUGGACCGGAGACCUGGGUGGACGCUGUCCUCCGGCUGGUCGGCUCACUCCCACUGGGGUGGGUUAGCGGUUCUGAAGCUGUAUGUUUACCACUGUUGAACAAGUAAGCAGAUAUUUUGCAGAUAAUGAGAACUCGCAGGUUCCUUGCUGUGGGAGAGAGAAGCUGCAGCGGGGAAGAGGGGACCCUGUGAGCUGGAGCUCGUGUGUGUGUUUAGAACACAGAUCGACGGAGAGUCAGGAAAUCCAGAGCCGGGUGCUUGCGCGGGUCGGACUGUCUCCUGACUGCCCGCUGAGAGCCGAGAAGCACAGCCCUGCAGGUGAGGGUCCUGAGGACUCUCCCUGGGAAAGGAGCCACGUGGUGCCCACGCGGGGCCUCGGGGAUGCAGGUGCCACCCUGAGCUGCCAGCAGCCCCGGGCGCUGGACCACACCGAGUGCGGAGGUGAUGUUGGUAGCACUGGGGCGGAAUCCAAGGGGUGGGUAAAUGUCGCUGAGGAGGGAGGGGACGCAGGGCACGUCCUCCUCACAGAACCUCCAGCACGGAGGGCCGUGGGCAGUGACCGCUGUGACCGCUGCCGGCGCCCGGGGGGACCGGUGCUCGAAGCUGCCGGGCAGGCGGGCGUCCGGAUGGUCUCAGAGACGUCUCCAAAUAGCUCUUUCCUAACUACAAAGAAAAAAGGAGUCACUGUGCAGUGGAGACGCCACCUGCCUCAGCUGUGAGGGUCCCCGUCCCUGGUGACGGGGCAUGGUGACACCGCUGUGCCCUCCUGCCCUUCCCGGUGACCUGUGCCCCAGGGCGGCUGGCGACGGCUGACCCUGCUCUUCAGAAGCCUCCAGGUCACGGAGACGGGACCAAGGGGACUGUCCCAGGUGGGGGCCUGAGGGUCCAGGGUCAGCUCCCAGGACAGAGACGGGCGUUUGCAGAAAUCCUGGUGACGUCGUCGCCCACCACGUGGCUUAGCCAAUAGCGUCGGAGCAGGGCCACCCUCGUUCCCAAUGGUACACGCUUUCCUUCCGGGAGGGGCGCAUGUCCCGGGAAGUGUGGAGACCCGGGGAGGGGACUCUGGUGCCCCUGCAGCUCUUCUGUGAGUCCAAAACCGAAAGAAUCUGUACUGGGAUCACGUUGUGGUUAUCAGUCAGCUGUGGGCAUGUGACGUCUUUGUGGUGUUCCUGUUGUCCCCUGCAAAGGACGCACGACGUGAGCCCCGAGUUUCCGCGUGAUUCGGGGACAGCCCCUCAUCCAGCUCCGGGGAGCCGCUCCGAGGAGGGGGGCCUCGUGGAGGGUCGCUGCCUGUCACGGGGACAGGUAUCCCCGUGAAUGACUCUAGCGCUUGCCUAAGGGUGGGAAGAUGCAAGGAUCCGGUCUGUAAAUGUUGUUCCUAAAGUGUAACCGUCGAAGGGCCUGUUUUCUUCCCAAAGCGCCAGGCCUCAUCCCAUCCCGGGUCUGCGCUCCCCUCGGGCUGCGCUGUGGGGCCCGGUGCCCCAUGGCUUGAUCCUCGGGGAACCAGAUGGUGGGGACAUCCUUUGUUUUACACUAUAAUUCAUUGAAGUCUAGCUUAUGCUGCUUUUAGAGAGUUUACUGUCUUACUGUGUGAAGAUAACAGGUGCUUGUGAUAGACAAAUUGGGGGAAAAAAGGGGAAAAUUCAAUGUUUACGUCAACCAGCUACGUAUUGUGAUAUUUUAAAGACUUUUCCAUAUAUUUGUGCUUUUUAAAAAAAAUUAUUGUUGCAUUUUGUAUCCUCCUUUUUUCACUUGUAACAUUUUCCCAUGCUAUUACAAACUCUAUAAAUAUACUUUUAAUAGUAUCUGUUAUUACA